CAGGCAUUCAGCUGCACUGUGUUCAGAGAUGCCUUGCUCUACUUGGGCUUUUUCUGCUGUUUGGAGGGGUUGUGAUGCCUGACAUCCCUAAUGAGGUUUUUGUCAGUCCAUCACCUAACCUCAGGGAUAGCUGAUUAGAACAAUGGUCUGCCUCGGACCCUGUAGGGGCCUCCAUCUCCAUGAUUCACUUGCAGCUCAGAGGGGAGAAGGAGCCAUUGCAUAGUAUCUGGAUGUUGCAAAGUUCCAUUUCUAGCAAAAUCCUCGGUGGAGUUUAGAUUUCAUCAUUUUGAGUGCACAAUGCUGUUUUCAGAGGAAGAGCAUUGGGGAAUCAAUCAGAGCCAUGUUAUAAAAGGAUCCCCAUCACUACAGAGCUGAAGUCUUCACCAAAUGCCCAGUUCAUUAAUCAGGCUCCCAGCGGCAAUUCUGAAAUUCCAGAGCAAGAUCAGCUUUCCACCACUGCUGCCCCUGCGGGAGCUAUCUUCUCAGAUAGCUUCUUGAAUUCUCUUUUGUCUAUGGUAAGUAGAUGUAUCACAAACUGUCAUGUUUAGCGGCAUCAGAGU
This 560-nucleotide long non-coding RNA is filed under the name Anas platyrhynchos (mallard). RNAcentral describes it as "lncRNA (ENSAPLG00020008801.1)". The record is from RNAcentral. Lineage: Eukaryota; Metazoa; Chordata; Aves; Anseriformes; Anatidae.